RNAcentral lists this ribosomal RNA (467 nucleotides) under uncultured bacterium. RNAcentral describes it as "partial 16S ribosomal RNA". It matches the Rfam family "Bacterial small subunit ribosomal RNA", at positions 28 to 507 of the family's 1533-position model. The record is from RNAcentral.
GGCGAACGCUGGCGGCGUGCUUAACACAUGCAAGUCGAACGGUGAAGCAGAGCUUGCUCUGUGGAUCAGUGGCGAACGGGUGAGUAACACGUGAGUAACCUGCCCUUGACUCUGGGAUAAGCGUUGGAAACGACGUCUAAUACCGGAUACGAGCUGAGACCGCAUGGUCAUCAGUUGGAAAGAUUUUUUGGUCAAGGAUGGACUCGCGGCCUAUCAGCUUGUUGGUGAGGUAAUGGCUCACCAAGGCGACGACGGGUAGCCGGCCUGAGAGGGUGACCGGCCACACUGGGACUGAGACACGGCCCAGACUCCUACGGGAGGCAGCAGUGGGGAAUAUUGCACAAUGGGCGCAAGCCUGAUGCAGCAACGCCGCGUGAGGGAUGACGGCCUUCGGGUUGUAAACCUCUUUUAGUAGGGAAGAAGCGAAAGUGACGGUACCUGCAGAAAAAGCACCGGCUAACUACGUG